This 2896-nucleotide ribosomal RNA is filed under the name Clostridioides difficile. RNAcentral describes it as "bacterial LSU rRNA". It matches the Rfam family "Bacterial large subunit ribosomal RNA". Lineage: Bacteria; Bacillati; Bacillota; Clostridia; Peptostreptococcales; Peptostreptococcaceae. The record is from RNAcentral.
UCAAGUUAUUAAGGGUGCAGGGCGGAUGCCUUGGCACUAGGAGCCGAUGAAGGACGUGAUAAGCUGCGAUAAGCUUCGGGGAGUUGCACGUAAACUUUGAUCCGAAGAUUUCCGAAUGAGGAAACUCACUUAGAGUAAUGUCUAAGUAUCAUUAAGUGAAUACAUAGCUUAAUGAGGGGAACUCAGGGAACUGAAACAUCUAAGUACCUGAAGGAAGAGAAAGAAAUUCGAUUCCGUAAGUAGCGGCGAGCGAACGCGGAUUAGCCCAAACCAAUAAAGUUUUCUUUAUUGGGGUUGCGGACAUAUCAUAACGAAGAGGUAUCGUAAUUGAAGAGGUUUGGAAAGACCCACCACAGAAGGUAAUAGUCCUGUAUGUUAAACGAGAAGACUUCAGAUAUGAUCCAGAGUACCACGGGACACGUGAAACCCUGUGGGAAGCAGGAGGGACCACCCUCCAAGGCUAAAUACUACCUAGUGACCGAUAGCGUAUAGUACCGUGAGGGAAAGGUGAAAAGAACCCCGGGAGGGGAGUGAAAUAGAACCUGAAACCCUGCACUUACAAGCUGUGGAAGCACAUUUCUUGUGUGACCGCGUACUUUUUGUAGAACGGGCCAACGAGUUACGUUAAGUAGCAAGGUUAAGCACUUAAGGUGUGGAGCCGUAGCGAAAGCGAGUUUUAACUGAGCGUUCAGUUACUUGACGUAGACCCGAAACCGGGCGACCUACCCAUGAGCAGGAUGAAGCGAAAGUAAAAUUUCGUGGAGGUCCGAACCCACGAGCGUUGAAAAGCUCGGGGAUGACUUGUGGGUAGCGGUGAAAUUCCAAUCGAGCCCGGAGAUAGCUGGUUCUCCCCGAAAUAGCUUUAGGGCUAGCCUCAAGGUGAGAGAUACGGAGGUAGAGCACUGAAUGUCCUAGGGGGUAUUGCACCUACCGAAGACUAUCAAACUCCGAAUGCCGUCAUCUUAUACUUGGGAGUCAGACUGUGGGUGAUAAGAUUCAUAGUCGAAAGGGCAACAGCCCAGAUCGUCAGCUAAGGUCCCUAAAUGUAAGUUAAGUGGUAAAGGAUGUGGGAUUGCACAGACAACCAGGAUGUUGGCUUAGAAGCAGCCACUCAUUCAAAGAGUGCGUAAUAGCUCACUGGUCGAGUGAUCCUGCGCCGAAGAUUUCCGGGGCUAAAACUUACUACCGAAGCUACGGCAUCAGUAAUGAUGGGUAGGGGAGCUUCCCAUACGGGUUGAAGCAUGACCGUAAGGACAUGUGGACAGUAUGGGAGUGAGAAUGUUGGCAUGAGUAGCGAGAUGUGGGUGAGAAUCCCACAGGCCGUAAACCCAAGGUUUCCAGGGGAAGGUUCGUCCACCCUGGGUUAGUCGGGACCUAAGCUGAGGCCGAAAGGCGUAGGUGAUGGACAACAGGUUGAUAUUCCUGUACUACCGAUAACCGUUUGAGAGAAGGGAUGACACAGUAGGAUAAGCUAAGCACACUGUUGGUUAUGUGUGCCCAAGCAUUGAGGCAGUCAAAGUAGGCAAAUCCGCUUUGAUAAUGCUGGGAUGUGAUGGGGAGCGAAAUUUAGUAGCGAAGUAGCUGAUUUCACACUGUCAAGAAAAGUCUCUAUCGAGGUUAAAGGUACCCGUACCGCAAACCGACACAGGUGGGUGAGGAGAGUAUCCUAAGGCCAGCGAGAGAACUGUUGUUAAGGAACUCGGCAAAAUGACCCCGUAACUUAGGGAUAAGGGGUGCCACCAUCAGGUGGCCGCAGAGAAUAGGCCCAAGCGACUGUUUACCAAAAACAUAGGUUUCUGCUAAGUCGCAAGACGAUGUAUAGGAGCUGACGCCUGCCCGGUGCUGGAAGGUUAAGGGGAUCUGUUAGAGCAAUCGAAGCAGUGAACUUAAGCCCCAGUAAACGGCGGCCGUAACUAUAACGGUCCUAAGGUAGCGAAAUUCCUUGUCGGGUAAGUUCCGACCCGCACGAAAGGCGUAACGAUUUGGGCACUGUCUCAACAACAGACUCGGUGAAAUUGUAAUUCCGGUGAAGAUGCCGGAUACCUGCGACAGGACGGAAAGACCCCAUGGAGCUUUACUGUAGCUUGACAUUGGGUCUUGGUACUACAUGUACAGGAUAGGUGGGAGGCUUUGAAACCAGGACGCCAGUUUUGGCGGAGCCAUCCUUGGGAUACCACCCUUGUAGUACUGGGACUCUAACCAUAGACCAUGAAUCUGGUCUUGGGACACUGUCAGGUGGGCAGUUUGACUGGGGCGGUCGCCUCCCAAAAGGUAACGGAGGCGCUCAAAGGUUCUCUCAGUACGGUCGGAAAUCGUACGUAGAGUGUAAAGGCAAAAGAGAGCUUGAUUGCAAGACAUACAGGUCGAGCAAGGAUGAAAAUCGGACUUAGUGAUCCGGUGGUUCUGCGUGGAAGGGCCAUCGCUCAACGGAUAAAAGCUACCCUGGGGAUAACAGGCUUAUCUCCCCCAAGAGUCCACAUCGACGGGGAGGUUUGGCACCUCGAUGUCGGCUCAUCACAUCCUGGGGCUGUAGUAGGUCCCAAGGGUUGGGCUGUUCGCCCAUUAAAGUGGUACGCGAGCUGGGUUCAGAACGUCGUGAGACAGUUCGGUCCCUAUCCGUCGCAGGCGUAGGAAAUUUGAGAAGACCUGUCCUUAGUACGAGAGGACCGGGAUGGACGUACCUCUGGUGUACCAGUUGUCCUGCCAAGGGCAUGGCUGGGUAGCUAUGUACGGAAUGGAUAAGCGCUGAAAGCAUCUAAGCGCGAAGCCAACUUCAAGAUAAGAUUUCCCACCGCAAGGGUAAGACCCCAGAAAGACUAUCUGGUUGAUAGGUCGAAGGUGUAAGUGCAGCAAUGUAUUUAGCUUAUCGAUACUAAUAGGUCGAGGACUUGACCAA